AGCUCCAAUAGCGUAUAUUUAAGUUGUUGCGGUUAAAAAGCUCGUAGUUGGAUUUCGGGCGUGGAGGUUCGGUCCGCCGUUUCGGUGUGCACUGUCUUUCUGCGUCUUUCUGUCGGGGACGCGCUUCUGGCCUUAAUUGGCUGGGACGUGGAUUCGACGAGGUUACUUUGAAAAAAUUAGAGUGUUCAAAGCAAGCUAAAGCUCUGAAUACAUUAGCAUGGAAUAACGCGAGAGGACUCGGUCCUUAUUUUGUUGGUCUUCAAGGAUGGAGUAAUGAUUAAGAGGGACAGUUGGGGGCAUUCGUAUUUCAUUGCUAGAGGUGAAAUUCUUGGAUUUAUGAAAGACGAACUUCUGCGAAAGCAUUUGCCAAGGAUGUUUUCAUUG
This 384-nucleotide ribosomal RNA is filed under the name Pycnococcus sp. RNAcentral's name for it is "SSU rRNA". It matches the Rfam family "Eukaryotic small subunit ribosomal RNA", at positions 587 to 975 of the family's 1831-position model. The record is from RNAcentral. Lineage: Eukaryota; Viridiplantae; Chlorophyta; Pseudoscourfieldiophyceae; Pseudoscourfieldiales; Pycnococcaceae.